This 77-nucleotide transfer RNA is filed under the name Acidobacteriota bacterium. Its description in RNAcentral is "Acidobacteria bacterium tRNA-Ala". It matches the Rfam family "tRNA". Rfam says of the family: Transfer RNA (tRNA) molecules are approximately 80 nucleotides in length. Their secondary structure includes four short double-helical elements and three loops (D, anti-codon, and T loops). Lineage: Bacteria; Pseudomonadati; Acidobacteriota. The record is from RNAcentral. RNAcentral also lists the same sequence under 2 other names.
GGGGGCGUAGCUCAGUUUGGCAGAGCGCGGGCUUUGCAAGCCUGAGGUCAGGGGUUCGAACCCCCUCGCCUCCACCA